CCCCAGACUCCUACGGGAGGCAGCAGUGGGGGAUAUUGCACAAUGGGGGGAACCCUGAUGCAGCGACGCCGCGUGGGUGAAGGAGUGCUUCGGUAUGUAAAGCCCUAUCGGCAGGGAAGAAAUUGGACGGUACCUGACUAAGAAGCCCCGGCUAACUACGUGCCAGCAGCCGCGGUAAUACGUAGGGGGCAAGCGUUAUCCGGAUUCACUGGGUGUAAAGGGAGCGUAGACGGCCAUGCAAGCCUGGAGUGAAAGCCCGGGGCCCAACCCCGGGACUGCUCUGGGAACUGUGCGGCUGGAGUGCGGGAGGGGCAGGCGGAAUUCCUGGUGUAGCGGUGAAAUGCGUAGAUAUCAGGAGGAACACCGGCGGCGAAGGCGGCCUGCUGGACCGCGACUGACGUUGAGGCUCGAAAGCGUGGGGAGCAAACAGGAUUAGAUACCCCUGUAC
This 448-nucleotide ribosomal RNA is filed under the name uncultured bacterium. Its description in RNAcentral is "bacterial SSU rRNA". It matches the Rfam family "Bacterial small subunit ribosomal RNA", at positions 329 to 793 of the family's 1533-position model. The record is from RNAcentral.